GAUGAACGCUGGCGGCGUGCUUAACACAUGCAAGUCGAACGGGAUCCAUCAAGCUUGCUUGGUGGUGAGAGUGGCGAACGGGUGAGUAAUGCGUGACCGACCUGCCCCAUACACCGGAAUAGCUCCUGGAAACGGGUGGUAAUGCCGGAUGCUCCAGUUGAUCGCAUGGUCUUCUGGGAAAGCUUUCGCGGUAUGGGAUGGGGUCGCGUCCUAUCAGCUUGACGGCGGGGUAACGGCCCACCGUGGCUUCGACGGGUAGCCGGCCUGAGAGGGCGACCGGCCACAUUGGGACUGAGAUACGGCCCAGACUCCUACGGGAGGCAGCAGUGGGGAAUAUUGCACAAUGGGCGCAAGCCUGAUGCAGCGACGCCGCGUGAGGGAUGGAGGCCUUCGGGUUGUAAACCUCUUUUAUCGGGGAGCAAGCGAGAGUGAGUUUACCCGUUGAAUAAGCAC
RNAcentral lists this ribosomal RNA (453 nucleotides) under uncultured bacterium. RNAcentral's name for it is "bacterial SSU rRNA". It matches the Rfam family "Bacterial small subunit ribosomal RNA", at positions 28 to 493 of the family's 1533-position model. The record is from RNAcentral.